CAGAGUCCCAUGAUCUCAGAGUAUGAUCCUAUAAAAGAUGACAAGAGAAGAAAGGGAAGUGCUCAGAUGGAAUUUCUUCAAGGCCAAACUGAAACUGAGGAGGGCCUGGUAGAAAAUGUGCCAGGGAUCCCAUUAAGUUUAUCCAGCAGUUUUCAUCAAAUAAGAAUGUUUUCCUACUUCCUAGGAAGGAAGGAAAUAAAGAAAUAAGAAAGGAAUGGAUGAACAGACUAAUGAAUGAAAGAAGAAAGAACAAAUGAAAAAUAUUGAAAAAAGUCUCUCAACUAGUCAGGACUUUCUCUUUAUUUAUCUUGGAGUCAUAGGAAAUAGCCUUCUCAGAGUGACCCUGAAAUAGUAUUUGUUUGAACAUCACAAGCUAAAUUUCCUUUUUAAAUUGUCUGUUUCCAGAAUCUGGUUCUAUGUGGGAAAAAAAAAAGAAGCAGUCUUGGAAUUGUAGGUUUGUCAGAAUGGAUAACUUUAAAGGUUUUUUUUAGAACCAAACUAAUACUUAAUCCAAAGAGUUGGAGAUAAUUUGAAUGUUUCACAGAAAAA
RNAcentral lists this long non-coding RNA (549 nucleotides) under Monodelphis domestica (gray short-tailed opossum). Its description in RNAcentral is "lncRNA (ENSMODG00000050514.1)". Lineage: Eukaryota; Metazoa; Chordata; Mammalia; Didelphimorphia; Didelphidae. The record is from RNAcentral.